ACUACGGGAGGCUGCAGUGGGGAAUAUUGGACAAUGGGGGAAACCCUGAUGCAGCGACGCCGCGUGAGUGAAGAAGUAUUUAGGUAUGUAAAGCUCCUUUAGCAGGGGAGAAAAUGACGGUACCUGUUUAAGAAUCCCCGGCCAACUACGUGCCAGCAGCCGCGGUAAUACGGAGGGGGCCAGCGUUAUCCGGAUUUACUGGGUGUUAAGGGGGCGUAGACGGCAGCACAAGUCAGGAGUGAAAUGCCGGGGCUUAACCCCGGAACUGCAUUUGAUACUGUGCAGCUAGAGUGCAGGAGAGGUAAGUGGAAUUCGUGGUGUAGCGGUGAAAUGCGUAGAUAUUAGGAAGAACACCAGUGGCGAAGGCAGCUUACUGGACUGUAACUGACGCUGAUGCGCGAAAGCGUGGGGAGCAAACAGGAUUAGAUACCCGAGUAGUC
This 440-nucleotide ribosomal RNA is filed under the name uncultured bacterium. RNAcentral describes it as "partial 16S ribosomal RNA". It matches the Rfam family "Bacterial small subunit ribosomal RNA", at positions 338 to 795 of the family's 1533-position model. The record is from RNAcentral.